This 498-nucleotide ribosomal RNA is filed under the name uncultured bacterium. RNAcentral describes it as "partial 16S ribosomal RNA". It matches the Rfam family "Bacterial small subunit ribosomal RNA", at positions 28 to 507 of the family's 1533-position model. The record is from RNAcentral.
GACGAACGCUGGCGGCGUGCCUAAUACAUGCAAGUCGAACGAGAGCGACCGGUGCUUGCACUGGUCAAUCUAGUGGCGAACGGGUGAGUAACACGUGGGUAACCUGCACAGCAGAGGGGGAUAACAUCCGGAAACGGAUGCUAACACAGCAUAGGUGUUCGAGCCGCAUGGCUUGAAGAGGAAAAGGGGCGCAAGCUUCUGCUGGUGGAUGGAGCCGCGGUGCAUUAGCUAGUUGGUGAGGUAACGGCUCACCAAGGCCGUGAUGCAUAGCCGACCUGAGAGGGUGAUCGGCCACAUUGGGACUGAGACACGGCCCAAACUCCUACGGGAGGCAGCAGUAGGGAAUCUUCCGCAAUGGACGCAAGUCUGACGCAGCAACGCCGCGUGAGUGAAGAAGGUCUUCGGAUCGUAAAACUCUGUUGUUAGAGAAGAACGAGUGCUAGAUUAACUGUUAGCGCCUUGACGGUAUCUACACAGAAAGCCCCGGCUAACUACGUG